GUGGGCUCUUAGUCCAUAUGACUGGUAUCUUUAUAAGAGAAGAGACACAAACACAUGAGAUGAAGGAAGAAUGCCAUGUGAUGACAGAGGCAGAGAUCAAAGUGUUACAGAUGCAGCCAAGAAAUGCCAAGCAUAUCCCAUCACCAGGAGCUGAGGAGAGGCCUGGGGCAUUCUCUCCUUCACAGGCUGUGGAACCAACCUGGAUGGUGCCCUGAUUAUAAGCUUCUGGACUCUAGAACUGACAUCCAUUCCCCGAAAUUAAAGUCAGCAGCCAGAAUGACUGCUGCGAGGCAAAUACCUCACGCUCACGCAAUCUCUCCGUCUCGAUGACCUGAAGUCCCAAGGGCCUUUCCACGAGCUAUUUCCUCUAACUGAUAGGUCCUCUCCACCAUCAACCCCCUCUUCUUGUUAAUUCUCCCAG
Molecule: long non-coding RNA, 421 nt
Organism: Heterocephalus glaber (naked mole-rat)
Lineage: Eukaryota; Metazoa; Chordata; Mammalia; Rodentia; Bathyergidae
Source: Ensembl